RNAcentral lists this ribosomal RNA (488 nucleotides) under uncultured bacterium. RNAcentral describes it as "bacterial SSU rRNA". It matches the Rfam family "Bacterial small subunit ribosomal RNA", at positions 791 to 1281 of the family's 1533-position model. The record is from RNAcentral.
UAGUCCACGCCGUAAACGAUCAUCACUCGCUGUUGGCGAUAUACUGUCAGCGGCCAAGCGAAAGUAUUAAGUGAUGCACCUGGGGAGUACGCCGGCAACGGUGAAACUCAAAGGAAUUGACGGGGGCCCGCACAAGCGGUGGAGCAUGUGGUUUAAUUCGAUGAUACGCGAGGAACCUUACCAGGGCUUAAAUGUAGUAUGACCGGUCUGGAAACAGGCCUUCCCUUCGGGGCAGAUUACAAGGUGCUGCAUGGUUGUCGUCAGCUCGUGCCGUGAGGUGUUAGGUUAAGUCCGGCAACGAGCGCAACCCACAUCCCUAGUUGCCAGCAGUUCGGCUGGGCACUCUAUGGAAACUGCCCGUGAUAAGCGGGAGGAAGGUGUGGAUGACGUCAAAUCAUCACGGCCCUUACGUCCUGGGGCUACACACGUGCUACAAUGGUAGAGACAGAGGGCAGCCACCUGGUGACAGGGGAGCGGAAUCCUUAAAC